RNAcentral lists this ribosomal RNA (505 nucleotides) under uncultured bacterium. RNAcentral describes it as "bacterial SSU rRNA". It matches the Rfam family "Bacterial small subunit ribosomal RNA", at positions 19 to 518 of the family's 1533-position model. The record is from RNAcentral.
AUGGCUCAGGAUGAACGCUAGCGGCAGGCUUAACACAUGCAAGUCGAGGGGCAUCAGGAGUAGCAAUACUUGCCGGCGACCGGCGCAAGGGUGCGUAACGCGUGAGCAACAUGCCCGUAUCAGGGGGAUAAUCCAUGGAAACGUGGUCUAAUACCCCAUAGUAAUUAUGUAAGGCAUCUUAUAUAAUUUAAAGCUUUGGUGGAUACGGAUUGGCUCGCGUGACAUUAGCUAGAUGGUAAGGUAACGGCUUACCAUGGCUACGAUGUCUAGGGGUUCUGAGAGGAAGGCCCCCCACACUGGAACUGAGACACGGUCCAGACUCCUACGGGAGGCAGCAGUGAGGAAUAUUGGACAAUGGAUGGAAAUCUGAUCCAGCCAUGCCGCGUGCCAGGAAGACGGCCCUAUGGGUUGUAAACUGCUUUUGUAUGGGAGCAAUAAGGGCUACGCGUAGUCCGAUGAGAGUACCAUACGAAUAAGCACCGGCUAACUCCGUGCCAGCAGCCGC